UGUCUAAGUAUAAGCAAUUAUACAGCGAAACUGCGAAUGGCUCAUUAUAUAAGUUAUCGUUUAUUUGAUAGUACCUUACUACUUGGAUAACCGUGGUAAUUCUAGAGCUAAUACAUGCUAAAAAUCCCGACUCCGGAAGGGAUGUAUUUAUUAGAUUAAAAACCAAUGCCCUCUGGGCUCCUUGGUGAUUCAUGAUAACUCUUCGAAUCGCACGGCCUUGCGCCGGCGAUGGUUCAUUCAAAUUUCUUCCCUAUCAACUUUCGAUGUUUGGGUAUUGGCCAAACAUGGUAGCAACGGGUAACGGAGGGUUAGGGCUCGACCCCGGAGAAGGAGCCUGAGAAACGGCUACUACAUCCAAGGAAGGCAGCAGGCGCGCAAAUUACCCAAUCCCGAUUCGGGGAGGUAGUGACAAUAAAUACUGAUACAGGGCUCUUUUGGGUCUUGUAAUUGGAAUGAGUACAAUUUAAAUCCCUUAACGAGGAACAAUUGGAGGGCAAGUCUGGUGCCAGCAGCCGCGGUAAUUCCAGCUCCAAUAGCGUAUAUUAAAGUUGUUGUGGUUAAAAAGCUCGUAGUUGAACCUUGGGCCUGGCUGGCCGGUCCGCCUCACCGCGUGCACUGGUCCGGCCGGGCCUUUCCCUCUGUGGAACCCCAUGCCCUUCACUGGGCGUGGCGGGGAAACAGGACGUUUACUUUGAAAAAAUUAGAGUGCUCCAGGCAGGCCUAUGCUCGAAUACAUUAGCAUGGAAUAAUGAAAUAGGACGCGUGGUUCUAUUUUGUUGGUUUCUAGGACCGCCGUAAUGAUUAAUAGGGACAGUCGGGGGCAUCAGUAUUCAAUUGUCAGAGGUGAAAUUCUUGGAUUUAUUGAAGACUAACUACUGCGAAAGCAUUUGCCAAGGAUGUUUUCAUUAAUCAGGAACGAAAGUUAGGGGAUCGAAGACGAUCAGAUACCGUCGUAGUCUUAACCAUAAACUAUGCCGACUAGGGAUCGGACGAUGUUAUUUUUUGACGCGUUCGGCACCUUACGAGAAAUCAAAGUGCUUGGG
Molecule: ribosomal RNA, 1043 nt
Filed under: Cordyceps simaoensis
Lineage: Eukaryota; Fungi; Ascomycota; Sordariomycetes; Hypocreales; Cordycipitaceae
Description: SSU rRNA
Rfam family: Eukaryotic small subunit ribosomal RNA
Source: RNAcentral